Molecule: long non-coding RNA, 1122 nt
Filed under: Ananas comosus (pineapple)
Lineage: Eukaryota; Viridiplantae; Streptophyta; Magnoliopsida; Poales; Bromeliaceae
Description: long non-coding RNA (ACOM_LNC033587)
Source: RNAcentral
GUCUCGGCCAGAGGGUGGAGUCCGAGGGUGUGGGUUCACCCUGGUAACAGCACAAGUGGGGGGGUUGAAGGGUGGUGAAGCAAGGAACAAUGGAGAGGUGGAGGAGCAGCCAGCUCCGGCAGCCGGCGGCGUGCUCUGGUGGCCGGAGCGCGCGCGGGGAGAGCAGGGGAACGUGAGGGAGGCGGUUAAGGAAGAGGAGGGGACCCAGGGUUAGGGUUUCAUGGUGACCUAACUCUAUGAUAUAUGUACAAUUACAGAAAAACCCACCUCAGCCCUAUUUUUAUAAUUUAGUCCCUGCCAUUGCGCGUAACUUGCGCAUACGCACCACCACGCUCGAUCUCAAGCAAUUCGGUACAUAAAAUACAAUGACUUUUGCGAAGUUUCCGAUUUGCCACCUUCGACCCCUCAGUGAACAUUUCGCGUUUCCCGAAAAUCCGUCAGUUGGAUUUUCGAUCCGACAGUGCCAUCGCGUUCAGCACGACGGGGGCAUCAAAACUACGAUUUCGUUUCAUCCGAUUUGCUUGCCGAUUUGCGACAAAAUCUGACCUCUCUCCAACUAACCUAUAUAUCAUACAUAGGCCUUGGUGGAAACUCGAAAUCCUUUAAUUCAAACUCGUAUUUGAAUUCCCUGCCACCAGUAGGUACUUGAAACAUCUCUCACCCAUCUCCAGAUCACUUGUACAAAGCACGAGGAGUUUUAAAAUGCACGAAUAGCAAAGAGCGGAAACCCUCUUUUUGUUAAAACUCCUUUUUCUCAAAAAUCGUGCAUCAGAUCCAAAAUCCGUCAGUGCCAUUGGUUCCAGAAUAGUCGAGCCGAUCAAAACGAGCUAUUGGAUCGCUAUGAAUGGUGUCCGAUACGCGCCGAAAACCAACUCUACUCCGUGGCUUCUCCGGAAAACCGGAGUUACUAUUCACUUAAGUGAAAACUAAUAAUCGCGUAACUUCUCUGUUUUAGCUCAUUUUCUCCUGAAACUUGACGAGUGCUUAUGUAAUUAAAUUACACAUAUAAACAUCAUCAACAGAGAGUUUAAUAGCACUGUAAAAAUCUCAGUCCUUACACUAUCCAUAACUAUAAAUUAUACUAAACCUAAAACUGCAUUCACAAAAUAUAGGAAAGUACUU